This is a microRNA precursor of Gossypium raimondii (Peruvian cotton), 72 nucleotides long. It matches the Rfam family "MIR164 microRNA precursor family". The record is from Rfam. Lineage: Eukaryota; Viridiplantae; Streptophyta; Magnoliopsida; Malvales; Malvaceae.
UGGAAAAGGGGAGCACGUGCAAAACGGAAGAGAAGAGAAAUUACACUUUUGCACGUGCCCUGCUUCUCCAAC